This 232-nucleotide ribosomal RNA is filed under the name uncultured bacterium. RNAcentral describes it as "partial 16S ribosomal RNA". It matches the Rfam family "Bacterial small subunit ribosomal RNA", at positions 99 to 334 of the family's 1533-position model. The record is from RNAcentral.
CGGACGGGUGAGUAAUGUCUGGGAAACUGCCCGAUGGAGGAGGAUAACUACUGGAAACGGUAGCUAAUACCGCAUAACGUCGCAAGACCAAAGAGGGGGACCUUCGGGCCUCUUGCCAUCGGAUGUGCCCAGAUGGGAUUAGCUAGUAGGUGGGGUAACGGCUCACCUAGGCGACGAUCCCUAGCUGGUCUGAGAGGAUGACCAGCCACACUGGGACUGAGACACGGCCCAG